RNAcentral lists this ribosomal RNA (468 nucleotides) under uncultured bacterium. RNAcentral describes it as "partial 16S ribosomal RNA". It matches the Rfam family "Bacterial small subunit ribosomal RNA", at positions 28 to 507 of the family's 1533-position model. The record is from RNAcentral.
GACGAACGCUGGCGGCGUGCUUAACACAUGCAAGUCGAACGGAAAGGCCCUGCUUUUGUGGGGUGCUCGAGUGGCGAACGGGUGAGUAACACGUGAGUAACCUGCCCUUGACUUUGGGAUAACUUCAGGAAACUGGGGCUAAUACCGGAUAGGAGCUCCUGCUGCAUGGUGGGGGUUGGAAAGUUUCGGCGGUUGGGGAUGGACUCGCGGCUUAUCAGCUUGUGGGUGGGGUAGUGGCUUACCAAGGCUUUGACGGGUAGCCGGCCUGAGAGGGGGACCGGCCAAAUGGGGACUGAGAUACGGCCCGGACUCCUACGGGAGGCAGCAGUGGGGAAUAUUGCACAAUGGGCGGAAGCCUGAGGCAGCAACGCCGCGUGCGGGAUGACGGCCUUCGGGUUGUAACCCGCUUUCGCCUGGGACGAAGCGUGAGUGACGGUAAUGGGUAAAGAAGCACCGGCUAACUACGUG